AGGACGAACGCUGGCGGCGUGCUUAACACAUGCAAGUCGAGCGAGGCUCUCCCUUCGGGGAGAUGCCCUAGCGGCGAACGGGUGAGUAACACGUGGGUAACCUGCCCCUAGCACUGGGAUAACUCCGGGAAACCGGGGCUAAUACCGGAUAUGACCUUUGAGGGCAUCCUCUUUGGUGUAAAGGAUUCUGGCUAGGGAUGGGCCCGCGGCCUAUCAGCUUGUUGGUGGGGUAAUGGCCUACCAAGGCGACGACGGGUAGCCGGCCUGAGAGGGCGACCGGCCACACUGGGACUGAGACACGGCCCAGACUCCUACGGGAGGCAGCAGUGGGGAAUAUUGCACAAUGGGCGAAAGCCUGAUGCAGCGACGCCGCGUGAGGGAUGACGGCCUUCGGGUUGUAACCUCUUCAGCAGGGACGAAGACGAAGUGACGGUACCGUGCAGAAGAAGCACCGGCAACUACGCGCCAGCAGCCGC
Molecule: ribosomal RNA, 476 nt
Filed under: uncultured bacterium
Lineage: Bacteria
Description: SSU rRNA
Rfam family: Bacterial small subunit ribosomal RNA
Source: RNAcentral